This 486-nucleotide ribosomal RNA is filed under the name uncultured bacterium. RNAcentral's name for it is "partial 16S ribosomal RNA". It matches the Rfam family "Bacterial small subunit ribosomal RNA", at positions 30 to 507 of the family's 1533-position model. The record is from RNAcentral.
AUUGAACGCUGGCGGCAUGCCUUACACAUGCAAGUCGAACGGCAGCACGGGUGCUUGCCCCUGGUGGCGAGUGGCGAACGGGUGAGUAAUACAUCGGAACAUGUCCUGUAGUGGGGGAUAGCCCGGCGAAAGCCGGAUUAAUACCGCAUACGAUCUACGGAUGAAAGCGGGGGACCUUCGGGCCUCGCGCUAUCGGGUUGGCCGAUGGCUGAUUAGCUAGUUGGUGGGGUAAAGGCCUACCAAGGCGACGAUCAGUAGCUGGUCUGAGAGGACGACCAGCCACACUGGGACUGAGACACGGCCCAGACUCCUACGGGAGGCAGCAGUGGGGAAUUUUGGACAAUGGGCGAAAGCCUGAUCCAGCAAUGCCGCGUGUGUGAAGAAGGCCUUCGGGUUGUAAAGCACUUUUGUCCGGAAAGAAAUACUUGGCCCUAAUACGGUCGGGGGAUGACGGUACCGGAAGAAUAAGCACCGGCUAACUACGUG